GAUGAACGCUGGCGGCGUGCCUAAUACAUACAAGUCGAGCGAACAGACGAGGAGCUUGCUCCUCUGACGUUAGCGGCGGACGGGUGAGUAACACGUGGAUAACCCACCUAUAAGACUGGGAUAACUUCGGGAAACCGGAGCUAACACCGGAUAAUAUAUUGAUCCGCAGGGUUCAAUAGAGAGUGACGGCUUUGCUGUCACUUAUAGAUGCAUCUGCGCCGCAUUAGCUAGUUGGUAAGGUAACGGCUUACGAAGGCAACGAUGCGUAGCCGACCUGAGAGGGUGGUCGGCCGCCCUGGAACUGAGACACGGUCCAGACUCCUACGGGAGGCAGCAGUAGGGAACGUUACGCAGUGGUCGGGAGCCUGACGGAGCGACGCCGCGUGAGAGAUGAAGGUCUUCGGUUCGUAAAACUCUGUUAUGGGGGGAGAACAGAUGUGGAAGUAACUAUGCACGUCUUGACGGUACCUAAUCAGAAAGCCACGGCUAACUACGUG
RNAcentral lists this ribosomal RNA (497 nucleotides) under uncultured bacterium. RNAcentral describes it as "partial 16S ribosomal RNA". It matches the Rfam family "Bacterial small subunit ribosomal RNA", at positions 28 to 507 of the family's 1533-position model. The record is from RNAcentral.